GUUGAACGCUGGCGGCAUGCCUAACACAUGCAAGUCGAACGGAUGAAGGGAGCUUGGCCCUGCUUUCAGCGUCGGAAGGGGGAGUGAUGCACAUGAACAUGCUGGGUCGUACGGGGUGACGUCCGGUGGCGAGGGCUAAUACUACAGAAUACCAGCUGCAGAAGGAGGUGGAGCAUCGGACAUCAAGCUCUCAGAUGAGUCUACGUCGGGUUAGCUAGCUGGUGGGGUAAAUGCCUACCAAGGCGACGUUCCGUAACUGGUCUGAGAGGAUGAUCAGUCACACUGGAAGGGAGACACGGUACAGACGCCUACGGGAGGGAGCAGUGGGGAAUAGUGGGCCAGGGGCGGAAGCCUGAGCCAGCCAGGCCGCGGGUGUGAAGAAGGUCUUCGGAUUGGAAAGGACUGUAUGUUGGGAGGAAGGGCAGUAAGUUAAUACCUUGCCGUUUUGACGGGACCAACAGAAUAAGAACCGGCUAACUUCGUG
RNAcentral lists this ribosomal RNA (484 nucleotides) under uncultured bacterium. RNAcentral's name for it is "partial 16S ribosomal RNA". It matches the Rfam family "Bacterial small subunit ribosomal RNA", at positions 28 to 507 of the family's 1533-position model. The record is from RNAcentral.